Molecule: ribosomal RNA, 433 nt
Filed under: uncultured bacterium
Lineage: Bacteria
Description: partial 16S ribosomal RNA
Rfam family: Bacterial small subunit ribosomal RNA
Source: RNAcentral
AGCGAACGCUGGCGGCAGGCCUAACACAUGCAAGUCGAACGGAUCCUUCGGGAUUAGUGGCGGACGGGUGAGUAACACGUGGGAACGUGCCCUUUGGUUCGGAACAACUCAGGGAAACUUGAGCUAAUACCGGAUGUGCCCUUCGGGGGAAAGAUUUAUCGCCAUUGGAGCGGCCCGCGUCUGAUUAGCUAGUUGGUGAGGUAACGGCCCACCAAGGCGACGAUCAGUAGCUGGUCUGAGAGGAUGAUCAGCCACACUGGGACUGAGACACGGCCCAGACUCCUACGGGAGGCAGCAGUGGGGAAUCUUGCGCAAUGGGCGAAAGCCUGACGCAGCCAUGCCGCGUGAAUGAUGAAGGUAUUAGGAUUGUAAAAUUCUUUCAGCGGGGACGAUAAUGACGGUACCCGCAGAAGAAGCUCCGGCUAACUUCGUG